GACGAACGCUGGCGGCGUGCUUAACACAUGCAAGUCGAACGGGCCCGCCCCUGUUUUUGGGGGUGGGUUGAGUGGCGAACGGGUGAGUAUCACGUGAGUAACCUGCCCCCUGCUCCUGGAUAACUGCUUGAAAGGGCGGCUAAUACGGGGUGUGCCGGCUGGUCCGCAUGGGCCUGGUCGGGAUAGUUUCAUCUUCGGGUGUUUCGGUGGGGGAUGGGCUCGCGGCCUAUCAGCUUGUUGGUGGGGUGAUGGCCCACCAAGGCGGUGACGGGUAGCCGGCCUGAGAGGGUGGGCGGCCACACUGGGACUGAGACACGGCCCAGACUCCUGCGGGAGGCAGCAGUGGGGGGUAUUGCACAAUGGGCGGAAGCCUGAGGCAGCGACGUCGCGUGAGGGAUGGAGGCCUUCGGGUUGUGAACCUCUUUCUCCGGUGGUGAAGGCCCUGUCCGUUGCGGCGGGGUUGACGGUAGCCGGGGAUGAAGCGCCGGCUAACUACGUG
RNAcentral lists this ribosomal RNA (499 nucleotides) under uncultured bacterium. RNAcentral describes it as "partial 16S ribosomal RNA". It matches the Rfam family "Bacterial small subunit ribosomal RNA", at positions 28 to 507 of the family's 1533-position model. The record is from RNAcentral.